GUAUUUACAGCUGAAGAUUUACAUCGAUGGUUCUCAAACUUCAGUCUGCACUAAUGGAAUAACUAGACUUUUUAAGACACAGAUUCAGAUUACUCGUUCACAAUAGGAGGCAGAAAAGGCAUAGGAAGCAUGGGAGGGUCCCCAGUGAAACCUCGCCUUCAAGUGGAACACAGUUGAAAGCCAAGCUACAAGUUUUCUCUCCUGUUAUUCCAACUGAAAAGAGACCAUAUGACAUUCUACAGAUGGCUGCAGGCAAGCAUCUAAAACCUUUGGGAGAAUACAGCAUACCAGGAAGAUUAUUAUUAUGAAUAUUUGGUGAAUAAUACCAAGAGUUUGGAGCUCCUUACUCAUGGUCCCCACAAGCCAAACCUCCUAGAAUCAAAUAGAAC
This 389-nucleotide long non-coding RNA is filed under the name Callithrix jacchus (white-tufted-ear marmoset). RNAcentral describes it as "lncRNA (ENSCJAG00000078445.1)". Lineage: Eukaryota; Metazoa; Chordata; Mammalia; Primates; Cebidae. The record is from RNAcentral.